GGAGGAGCACAUACAGCAUAGCACACAAAUACACAUUACAGAACAAGCUAGCAUGCUCUAAUACACUUGAAUCAGUGACAUUCAAAUAAACACAUCAAAGACUAAGUAAACCACAACAAACACACUCAAAUCGCUAUCCAAACUUGAUCUGCUACUCUCAAAGCGAAAAAAUAAUCUUAAAAUUUUUAUGUCGCUUUUAGCCUAGCCGACUCCGCCGGUACCGCAAAUCAACUGCAUCUGCUUCAAGGCUUUCAUUAGGUGCUCAUGAGACACCACCACAAGGUCAGAGAGAAGCAAAGGGCAAGCCAUAGGAGUGAUAUGAAGUGCGCAGCGAAACAAGGCCAAGGAGGAGGCGGCGGCCCGCGGGCG
Molecule: long non-coding RNA, 369 nt
Filed under: Lotus japonicus
Lineage: Eukaryota; Viridiplantae; Streptophyta; Magnoliopsida; Fabales; Fabaceae
Description: long non-coding RNA (LJAP_LNC000916)
Source: RNAcentral